This 253-nucleotide ribosomal RNA is filed under the name uncultured bacterium. Its description in RNAcentral is "partial 16S ribosomal RNA". It matches the Rfam family "Bacterial small subunit ribosomal RNA", at positions 524 to 776 of the family's 1533-position model. The record is from RNAcentral.
UACGGAGGGUGCAAGCGUUGCUCGGAAUUAUUGGGCGUAAAGCGCGUGUAGGCUGUUAUCUAAGUCUGGUGUGAAAUCCCGGAGCUCAACUCCGGAAGUGCAUUGGAUACUGGAUAACUAGAGGACGAGAGAGGAUGGUGGAAUUCCUGGUGUAGGGGUGAAAUCCGUAGAUAUCAGGAGGAACAUCAGUGGCGAAGGCGGCCAUCUGGCUCGUUCCUGACGCUGAGACGCGAAAGCGUGGGGAGCAAACAGG